This 376-nucleotide ribosomal RNA is filed under the name uncultured bacterium. RNAcentral's name for it is "bacterial SSU rRNA". It matches the Rfam family "Bacterial small subunit ribosomal RNA", at positions 524 to 898 of the family's 1533-position model. The record is from RNAcentral.
UACGUCGGUGGCAAGCGUUGUCCGGAUUUAUUGGGCGUAAAGCGAGCGCAGGCGGUUUCUUAAGUCUGAUGUGAACGCCCCCGGCUCAACCGGGGAGGGUCAUUGGAAACUGGGAAACUUGAGUGCAGAAGAGGAGAGUGGAAUUCCAUGUGUAGCGGUGAAAUGCGUAGAUAUAUGGAGGAACACCAGUGGCGAAGGCGGCUCUCUGGUCUGUAACUGACGCUGAGGCUCGAAAGCGUGGGGAGCAAACAGGAUUAGAUACCCUGGUAGUCCACGCCGUAAACGAUGAGUGCUAAGUGUUGGAGGGUUUCCGCCCUUCAGUGCUGCAGCUAACGCAUUAAGCACUCCGCCUGGGGAGUACGACCGCAAGGUUGAA